UACGUAGGGUGCAGGCGUUAAUCGGAAUUACUGGGCGUAAAGCGUGCGCAGGCGGUGAUGUAAGACAGUUGUGAAAUCCCCGGGCUCAACCUGGGAACUGCAUCUGUGACUGCAUCGCUGGAGUGCGGCAGAGGGGGAUGGAAUUCCGCGUGUAGCAGUGAAAUGCGUAGAUAUGCGGAGGAGCACCGAUGGCGAAGGCAAUCCCCUGGGCCUGCACUGACGCUCAUGCACGAAAGCGUGGGGAGCAAACAGG
This 253-nucleotide ribosomal RNA is filed under the name uncultured bacterium. Its description in RNAcentral is "partial 16S ribosomal RNA". It matches the Rfam family "Bacterial small subunit ribosomal RNA", at positions 524 to 776 of the family's 1533-position model. The record is from RNAcentral.